AUACACACCUUCAAGGUGAGAUAGCAAGAUCACAAAAGUGUUCAGGAUGGGGCUUAUCCAUUUGCAUUCUGGAUGGACUGACCACUGCAAUUUCCCUAAAUGUAGAAAAUUCAACUGCAUUAAUAGUGAUAGUGGGGGAAUGCAUUCAUUCUCUUCUUAU
Small nuclear RNA from Onychomys torridus (southern grasshopper mouse), 160 nucleotides. RefSeq annotates it as U1 spliceosomal RNA. The record is from RefSeq and is a predicted model, not a curated record. The transcript has a single exon. NCBI's taxonomy places the organism in Eukaryota, Metazoa, Chordata, Mammalia, Rodentia, Cricetidae.